This is a long non-coding RNA of Portunus trituberculatus (swimming crab), 211 nucleotides long. RefSeq lists it as uncharacterized. The transcript is spliced from 3 exons. NCBI's taxonomy places the organism in Eukaryota, Metazoa, Arthropoda, Malacostraca, Decapoda, Portunidae. The record is from RefSeq and is a predicted model, not a curated record.
CAGCCAGCCAUCUGUUCAGGUGGCCGCCAGCACAAGUGGGUUCACCAGCACUGUAAAACAAGGUGUGAGCGCUUCAGGUAACUACGCAGAGUCAAGUUGAGGAAGGUCGGGAGCUGAGGAGAGGUGGACCAGUCAAGAUCUGAACGACCGACCUUCGGCUCCGCUCCUUUACGUCACAUGAAGGGGCGUGAGGGCGUUAGGAUACGUGUCG